RNAcentral lists this ribosomal RNA (2610 nucleotides) under Escherichia coli. Its description in RNAcentral is "23S ribosomal RNA". It matches the Rfam family "Bacterial large subunit ribosomal RNA", at positions 323 to 2925 of the family's 2925-position model. Lineage: Bacteria; Pseudomonadati; Pseudomonadota; Gammaproteobacteria; Enterobacterales; Enterobacteriaceae. The record is from RNAcentral.
UGUGUGUUAGUGGAAGCGUCUGGAAAGGCGCGCGAUACAGGGUGACAGCCCCGUACACAAAAAUGCACAUGCUGUGAGCUCGAUGAGUAGGGCGGGACACGUGGUAUCCUGUCUGAAUAUGGGGGGACCAUCCUCCAAGGCUAAAUACUCCUGACUGACCGAUAGUGAACCAGUACCGUGAGGGAAAGGCGAAAAGAACCCCGGCGAGGGGAGUGAAAAAGAACCUGAAACCGUGUACGUACAAGCAGUGGGAGCACGCUUAGGCGUGUGACUGCGUACCUUUUGUAUAAUGGGUCAGCGACUUAUAUUCUGUAGCAAGGUUAACCGAAUAGGGGAGCCGAAGGGAAACCGAGUCUUAACUGGGCGUUAAGUUGCAGGGUAUAGACCCGAAACCCGGUGAUCUAGCCAUGGGCAGGUUGAAGGUUGGGUAACACUAACUGGAGGACCGAACCGACUAAUGUUGAAAAAUUAGCGGAUGACUUGUGGCUGGGGGUGAAAGGCCAAUCAAACCGGGAGAUAGCUGGUUCUCCCCGAAAGCUAUUUAGGUAGCGCCUCGUGAAUUCAUCUCCGGGGGUAGAGCACUGUUUCGGCAAGGGGGUCAUCCCGACUUACCAACCCGAUGCAAACUGCGAAUACCGGAGAAUGUUAUCACGGGAGACACACGGCGGGUGCUAACGUCCGUCGUGAAGAGGGAAACAACCCAGACCGCCAGCUAAGGUCCCAAAGUCAUGGUUAAGUGGGAAACGAUGUGGGAAGGCCCAGACAGCCAGGAUGUUGGCUUAGAAGCAGCCAUCAUUUAAAGAAAGCGUAAUAGCUCACUGGUCGAGUCGGCCUGCGCGGAAGAUGUAACGGGGCUAAACCAUGCACCGAAGCUGCGGCAGCGACACUAUGUGUUGUUGGGUAGGGGAGCGUUCUGUAAGCCUGUGAAGGUGUGCUGUGAGGCAUGCUGGAGGUAUCAGAAGUGCGAAUGCUGACAUAAGUAACGAUAAAGCGGGUGAAAAGCCCGCUCGCCGGAAGACCAAGGGUUCCUGUCCAACGUUAAUCGGGGCAGGGUGAGUCGACCCCUAAGGCGAGGCCGAAAGGCGUAGUCGAUGGGAAACAGGUUAAUAUUCCUGUACUUGGUGUUACUGCGAAGGGGGGACGGAGAAGGCUAUGUUGGCCGGGCGACGGUUGUCCCGGUUUAAGCGUGUAGGCUGGUUUUCCAGGCAAAUCCGGAAAAUCAAGGCUGAGGCGUGAUGACGAGGCACUACGGUGCUGAAGCAACAAAUGCCCUGCUUCCAGGAAAAGCCUCUAAGCAUCAGGUAACAUCAAAUCGUACCCCAAACCGACACAGGUGGUCAGGUAGAGAAUACCAAGGCGCUUGAGAGAACUCGGGUGAAGGAACUAGGCAAAAUGGUGCCGUAACUUCGGGAGAAGGCACGCUGAUAUGUAGGUGAAGCGACUUGCUCGUGGAGCUGAAAUCAGUCGAAGAUACCAGCUGGCUGCAACUGUUUAUUAAAAACACAGCACUGUGCAAACACGAAAGUGGACGUAUACGGUGUGACGCCUGCCCGGUGCCGGAAGGUUAAUUGAUGGGGUCAGCGCAAGCGAAGCUCUUGAUCGAAGCCCCGGUAAACGGCGGCCGUAACUAUAACGGUCCUAAGGUAGCGAAAUUCCUUGUCGGGUAAGUUCCGACCUGCACGAAUGGCGUAAUGAUGGCCAGGCUGUCUCCACCCGAGACUCAGUGAAAUUGAACUCGCUGUGAAGAUGCAGUGUACCCGCGGCAAGACGGAAAGACCCCGUGAACCUUUACUAUAGCUUGACACUGAACAUUGAGCCUUGAUGUGUAGGAUAGGUGGGAGGCUUUGAAGUGUGGACGCCAGUCUGCAUGGAGCCGACCUUGAAAUACCACCCUUUAAUGUUUGAUGUUCUAACGUUGACCCGUGAUCCGGGUUGCGGACAGUGUCUGGUGGGUAGUUUGACUGGGGCGGUCUCCUCCUAAAGAGUAACGGAGGAGCACGAAGGUUGGCUAAUCCUGGUCGGACAUCAGGAGGUUAGUGCAAUGGCAUAAGCCAGCUUGACUGCGAGCGUGACGGCGCGAGCAGGUGCGAAAGCAGGUCAUAGUGAUCCGGUGGUUCUGAAUGGAAGGGCCAUCGCUCAACGGAUAAAAGGUACUCCGGGGAUAACAGGCUGAUACCGCCCAAGAGUUCAUAUCGACGGCGGUGUUUGGCACCUCGAUGUCGGCUCAUCACAUCCUGGGGCUGAAGUAGGUCCCAAGGGUAUGGCUGUUCGCCAUUUAAAGUGGUACGCGAGCUGGGUUUAGAACGUCGUGAGACAGUUCGGUCCCUAUCUGCCGUGGGCGCUGGAGAACUGAGGGGGGCUGCUCCUAGUACGAGAGGACCGGAGUGGACGCAUCACUGGUGUUCGGGUUGUCAUGCCAAUGGCACUGCCCGGUAGCUAAAUGCGGAAGAGAUAAGUGCUGAAAGCAUCUAAGCACGAAACUUGCCCCGAGAUGAGUUCUCCCUGACNGUCCUGAAGGAACGUUGAAGACGACGACGUUGAUAGGCCGGGUGUGUAAGCGCAGCGAUGCGUUGAGCUAACCGGUACUAAUGAACCGUGAGGCUUAACCUU